This is an RNA transcript of Rhagoletis zephyria (snowberry fruit fly), 1574 nucleotides long. It is a transcript of the gene named NADH dehydrogenase (ubiquinone) subunit ND-42, with no coding region annotated. NCBI's taxonomy places the organism in Eukaryota, Metazoa, Arthropoda, Insecta, Diptera, Tephritidae. The record is from RefSeq and is a predicted model, not a curated record.
UGCCAAUAAUUUCUACUGUCAGUUGUGCUGUUAUGGCUGUCCGAUUUCUGGCGUAGAAAAUAAAUAGGGAGCUCGGAAAAAAUUGUGUUAAGAAUGGCUGCCGUUUUCCGUGUAGGCAUUGUACGCCUGUGUGGCCGUAAUGCAACUCCUGCAUUGCUGAAUACGCAGUCGGUGUCGCCGAUGGCUUUAACGCAGAAGUGCACAAUUAUGGGUAAAUCUAUGCGUGGUGGUCCUCGCAUACCAAAUGCACCUCCAUAUCCAUACAAGGAGAAGCGGUACACUGUACUCAAUUCGUUAUUUGAUAAAACAUCGAAGCGCAUGGACGAAAAUUCUAAAGUCAUCUGUGUUGAAGGACCAAUUGGUGCAGGCAAGAGCAAAUUUGCCAAAGAGUUGGCUGAUGAAUUGGAAAUGUGCUACUUUCCCGAAGUCAACUUGGACUUGAUAUAUAUCAACUCCUACGGAUACGAUAUGCGAAAGUUAGAUCCGCAGCUGCCAGAACUGUGUCGUUCCUACGAUGUGACGAAUUUCUGUCGUGAGCCCAAUCAUCCUUUGGCCGCACAGUUCCAAAUUCGCAUGUACAUGCUGAGAUAUUCGCAGUACAUAGAUGCCUUGCAACAUAUUCUUUCAACUGGUCAAGGUGUUGUUUUGGACCGUAGCUGUUAUUCAGAUUUCGUGUUCUUAGAAGCGAUGCAUAGAAAUGGUUACAUUUCUCGUGGUGCCUAUUCGGUAUACCACGAGAUUCGUGAAAAUACCAUUGGAGAACUUCUUAAGCCGCAUUUGGUAAUCUAUUUAGACUGUCCAGUCGAUGCCGUAAAGCAACGUAUUAAAGCUCGCAACAUUGACUACGAAGUCAAUUCUAAAGUGUUCACCGAUGCCUACUUAAAGGAUAUUGAAACAUUCUAUAAACAGCACUUCCUUAAAGAUAUCAGCAACCAUGCAGAAAUCUUAGUCUACGAUUGGACUGCUGGCGGAGAGACCGAAGUUGUUGUCGAAGAUAUCGAACGAAUUGAUUUUGGACAGUUCGAAAUUGAUCACCAUAAUAAGAAAAUGAAGGAUUGGCGUUUCCCGCUCGAAGCGGAGUGGUGUGAGGCGCGCAUUAAGUACUGUAACGAAAAGAGUACUUUGAUGAAUUAUUUCAACGUACCACGCUACGACGUUCCGGAAUUGGUGCGCGACGCUGAAAGCGGCAAAAUUUGGCGCGAUGUGUGGUACAACGCGCCUGGCAUGAAAUAUCGUCCUGGCUAUAAUGAAGAUAUGGGAGAUACAGGUUUGCUUACUAAAACAACUAUCGGUAUCAAUCAACCAUUCUAAGCUGUCGCCAAUUAUUUGUUAGUCAAAUAUUAAUAAAAAGAAAAGAACCGAAUGAAAUGAAAUGCUGUAUAAUAAGUAGCUAUGAAAAGAAUGCGAAAGGUUAAAAAGAAAAUAAUGUGUAGAAUAAUAAAUUAAAAUGCUGUUGGCGACUGUUUGUUGAACGCAGUUGUUUUUAAAAUUUGAAUGAAUGAAAUUCGCUGUGAGUUGCAUACCUAUACAAACUGAAAUUAACACUUUCAUCCUUAUACAACUAAAACCACACA